UAGGCUGAAGUUCUCUGGAUUGAGCGUUUAGUUGUUAAUUAAAAGGUCGUAGGAUAAAAGCCCACCAGCCUAG
This 73-nucleotide transfer RNA is filed under the name Caecilia tentaculata. Its description in RNAcentral is "tRNA-Asn". It matches the Rfam family "tRNA". From Rfam's summary of the family: Transfer RNA (tRNA) molecules are approximately 80 nucleotides in length. Their secondary structure includes four short double-helical elements and three loops (D, anti-codon, and T loops). The record is from RNAcentral. Lineage: Eukaryota; Metazoa; Chordata; Amphibia; Gymnophiona; Caeciliidae.